This 206-nucleotide ribosomal RNA is filed under the name uncultured bacterium. Its description in RNAcentral is "partial 16S ribosomal RNA". It matches the Rfam family "Bacterial small subunit ribosomal RNA", at positions 568 to 774 of the family's 1533-position model. The record is from RNAcentral.
UGCGUAGGUGGUGAGGUAAGUCGGAUGUGAAAUCUCGGAGCUCAACUCCGAAAUGGCAUUGGAAACUACCUUGCUAGAGGGUUGGAGGGGGGACUGGAAUGCUUGGUGUAGCAGUGAAAUGCGUAGAUAUCAAGCGGAACACCAGUGGCGAAGGCGAGUCCCUGGACAACUCCUGACACUGAGGCACGAAAGCUAGGGAGCAAACA